This 650-nucleotide ribosomal RNA is filed under the name Collimonas sp. AD103. RNAcentral describes it as "bacterial SSU rRNA". It matches the Rfam family "Bacterial small subunit ribosomal RNA", at positions 76 to 719 of the family's 1533-position model. The record is from RNAcentral. Lineage: Bacteria; Pseudomonadati; Pseudomonadota; Betaproteobacteria; Burkholderiales; Oxalobacteraceae.
UAGCUUGCUCCGGUGACGAGUGGCGAAUGGGUGAGUAAUAUAUCGGAACCUACCUUUGAGUGGGGGAUAACUAGUCGAAAGAUUACCUAAUACCCCAUACAAUCUACCUUUGAAAGUGGGGGAUCGCAAGACCUCAUGCUCAUACAGCGGCCGAUCUGGGAUUAGCUCCUUGGUGAGGUUAGGGCUCCCCCUGGCUUCAAUCAUGAACUGGUCUGAAAGGACUACCAAUCACGCUGGGACUGACACACCGUCCUCACUCCUUCCGUAGGGAUCGUUGGGGAAUUUUGGACAAUGGGGGCAACCCUGAUCCACUAAUGCCGCGGGAGUGAAUAAUGGCUUCAGUUUGUAAAGCUCUUUUGUCCGGGAAGAAACGGGGGAUCCUAAUACGGUGCCCUAAUGACGGUACCUGAACAAUCCCCACCGGCUAACUACUUGCCAACAUGCCCGGGGAUACUUAGGGUGUUCGCGUUAAUCCGAAUUACUGGGCGUAAACCGUGCCCAGGGCGGUAUGUAAGACAUGUGUGAAAUCCCCAGGCUUAACCUGGUAAUGGCAUUUGUGACUGCUUCACUCGAGUGUGUGCGAGGGGGGUAGAUUUCCACGUGUAGCCUGAAAUGCAUCGAGAUGUGCGAGGAAUACCGAUGGUAUCUAA